Molecule: long non-coding RNA, 319 nt
Filed under: Homo sapiens (human)
Lineage: Eukaryota; Metazoa; Chordata; Mammalia; Primates; Hominidae
Description: HSALNT0047581
Source: RNAcentral
GAGGAAUGGGUCUCUGCCAACCUAUGGUCAUACACAUGAACAGCUGCUAAAAGGAAGACGAAUAGGCAAAGGUCCUGGUAGGACAACUUUACUACCCUUGUUCUUUAAAUGCUGAUUAACUUUGCUUUGGCCUUUUUGGUAGAUAUUAAGCCCAAAUCUCUGAAAUGGGGCAAGAAUCUCAACAUACAAAGGCAAUAAUUUGGAUUUCCUGUAAAGUUCCAGAAUGAAUCCCAGUUCAUAUUCCAAGUGUUGGCAUCUGUUAACAUUUCUUUUCCCUUCUAGACUAUUUGGAUUAAAAGCGUAUCAGGGGCUAACUGCU